Non-coding RNA from Diplogelasinospora grovesii, 90 nucleotides. The record is from the annotation of a GenBank genome assembly. NCBI's taxonomy places the organism in Eukaryota, Fungi, Ascomycota, Sordariomycetes, Sordariales, Diplogelasinosporaceae.
GCAUCAGUGGUUUAGUGGUAAAAUCCAUCGUUGCCAUUUGUGGUGAGAAUCACACUCGAUGGGCCCCGCGUUCGAUUCGCGGCUGAUGCA